This is an RNA transcript of Trichechus manatus latirostris (Florida manatee), 471 nucleotides long. It is a transcript of the gene named non-histone chromosomal protein HMG-17 pseudogene, with no coding region annotated. The transcript is spliced from 3 exons. The record is from RefSeq and is a predicted model, not a curated record. NCBI's taxonomy places the organism in Eukaryota, Metazoa, Chordata, Mammalia, Sirenia, Trichechidae.
AUGGACCAAGGCUUGUUCCAGCGCCUGCGUCCCACUGCUGUCGCCACAAUACCCAAGAGAAAGGCUGAAGGGGAUGCUAAGGGAGCUAAAGCCAAGGUGAAGGACAAACCACAGAGGAGAUCUGCAAGGUUAUCUGCUAAACCUGCUCCUCCAAAGCCAGAGCCUAAGCCUAAAACGGCCCCUGCAAAGAAGGGAGAGAAGGUACCCAAAGGGAAAAAGGGGAAAGCUGAUGCUGGCAAGGAUGGGAAUAACCCUGCAGAAAAUGGAGAUGCCAAAACAGACCAGGCACAGAAAGCUGAAGGUGCUGGAGAUACCAAGGGAAGUGUGUGCAUUUUUGAUAACUGCGUACUUCUGGUGACUGUACAGUUUGAGAUACUAUUUUUUAUCAAGUUUUAUAAAAAUGCAGAAUUUUGUUUUACUUUUUUUUUUUUUUUUUUUUUAGAUUUGUUUAUUUUUAAAAUGCUGACCUGA